UGAGGGAAUAUUGGGUCAAUGGGCGCAGGCCUGAACCAGCCAAGUCGCGUGAGGGAUGACGGUCCUACGGAUUGUAAACCUCUGUUUUCGGUGACGAACAAAUGACGGUAACCGAGUAGGAAGCCACGGCUAACUACGUGCCAGCAGCCGCGGUAAUACGUAGGUGGCAAGCGUUAUCCGGAAUUACUGGGUGUAAAGGGAGCGCAGGCGGGAUAGCAAGUCAGCUGUGAAAACUAUGGGCUCAACCCAUAAACUGCAGUUGAAACUGUUAUUCUUGAGUGGAGUAGAGGCAAGCGGAAUUCCGAGUGUAGCGGUGAAAUGCGUAGAUAUUCGGAGGAACACCAGUGGCGAAGGCGGCUUGCUGGGCUCUAACUGACGCUGAGGCUCGAAAGUGUGGGGAGCAAACAGGAUUAGAUACCCUGGUAGU
RNAcentral lists this ribosomal RNA (427 nucleotides) under uncultured Eubacterium sp. Its description in RNAcentral is "bacterial SSU rRNA". It matches the Rfam family "Bacterial small subunit ribosomal RNA", at positions 354 to 794 of the family's 1533-position model. The record is from RNAcentral. Lineage: Bacteria; Bacillati; Bacillota; Clostridia; Eubacteriales; Eubacteriaceae.